RNAcentral lists this ribosomal RNA (253 nucleotides) under uncultured bacterium. RNAcentral's name for it is "partial 16S ribosomal RNA". It matches the Rfam family "Bacterial small subunit ribosomal RNA", at positions 524 to 776 of the family's 1533-position model. The record is from RNAcentral.
UACGUAGGGGGCAAGCGUUGUCCGGAAUCAUUGGGCGUAAAGAGCGUGUAGGCGGCCCGACAAGUCCGCCGUGAAAGUCCAGGGCUCAACCCUGGAAUGCCGGUGGAAACUGUCGGGCUGGAGUCCGGAAGAGGCGAGUGGAAUUCCUGGUGUAGCGGUGAAAUGCGCAGAUAUCAGGAGGAACACCAAUGGCGAAGGCAGCUCGCUGGGGCGGUACUGACGCUGAGACGCGAAAGCGUGGGGAGCAAACAGG